Molecule: long non-coding RNA, 2391 nt
Organism: Anolis carolinensis (green anole)
Lineage: Eukaryota; Metazoa; Chordata; Lepidosauria; Squamata; Anolidae
Exons: 4
Source: RefSeq, a predicted model, not a curated record
UGCUUGCUUGCCUGUCUGCCUGCCAUUUGUACAUCCAGGCACUUCCAGCAUCAGAGGGGGAAGGUGGCAGCGGGGAUGCGCUCCCUGCCGAGUGGAUAAAGACUUGGGAGAAAUCCAGCAAGGGCAAGUUGAGUGUGUGGGGCUGGGCCUCCUGCGGAGCCAGGGAGGGAGGGAGGGAGGGAAGGGGCCAUAUGGUUGGGUCUUUCUCCUCCUUUGAGCCCCAUGUUGGCCCAGGCCAGAGGGUGCGAGCAAGAGGAAAGGGAAGGGGGGAGGGCUCCUUCCGUGGCGGCGGCUCCCUCCUACUAGGUCUUACUUUUGGGGAAGGUCUUAUAUUUGACCAGUCACCAAAAUCUCUACUAGGUCUUAUUUUAUGGGGAUGUCCUAUUUUCGGGGAAACACAGUAAUUACAUUUGUGAAUAAUUCAAUCACCAUAAUGAACAAUAUUGGCGAUAAAGGGCACCCUUGUCUUGUUCCCCUUGUCACUUCAAUUUCUUUAGUCAAAGAUCUUCCAAUUCUAUGAUUUUAUGAUCACGUCAGGGGGUAUUAUGUGUUGUUUUCUGUUUUUAAACAGGUUUUUAAUAGGGUUUCUGUGAAUUUUCCAGGCUGUAUGGCCAUGUUCCAGAAGCACUGUCUCCUGACGUUUCACCCAUAUCUAUGGUAAUUAUAGUCACCAGCAUUCACUCUUUAUUGGAUGUACAACAAUAAGAUAACCUAUGCAUAUGAAUGCAGAAAGCCGAAAUUUCUCCUACGUUACAAAAGUCCUCCUGACCAUUGGAUUGGUCUGCGAAGAGAUAACCCAGAGCAGCUUUGGAGAUGGAUCAAUGGUACCAUUUUCCAUGUAUGGACUACAGUUCAGGGCAGAGGAAGAUGUGCAUAUAUGAACCACAAAGCUAUUGCCAGCUCCAGCUGCUCAAGAGAAGAACACUGGAUCUGCAGCAAACCAGCUGAGAGCUAUCAGUUUGUCACCGCCUGAGUCCAGCCUUUGAAUGACUUUGGGACCAGCAAGAAAGAUCGGAGGUCAGAAACCAGACAUGUAGUGACAUGGCAUGGGAGUAUCAGGGUUUUUGUUUUGUUUUUUGAAAAUGGAAAUCUCCAUAACUUUUUGGAGAUGUUACGAUCUUUGGAAAGGCAUGAUCUUGACAGAAGUCACAACCUUUUGAAAAAUGAUGCCAUACCCUCUUGGGCGCUCCUGAAGGCACAGUGGGUUAAACCACUGAACUUGCUAACCAAAAGGCUGGUGAUUCAAAUCCGGGGAGAGAAGUGAGCUCCUGCUGUUAGCCCCAGCUUCUGCCAAUGUAACAGUUUGAAAACAUGCAAAAGUGAGUAGAUCAAUAAGUACCACUCUGGCAGGAAGGUUAUGGCGCUCCAUGCAGUCAUGCUGGCCACAUGACCUUGGAGGUGUCUACACACAACUCCAGCUCUUCGGCGUAGAAAUAGAGAUGAGCACCAUCCCUCAGAGUCAGACAUGACUAGACUUAAAUGUCAUGGGAAAACCUUUACCUUUACCUAACUCUUGGUAAAAAGCAUGCUCUAUUAGAGUCAUAAUGUGAUGUCUCAGUCACCUUUGGCACCUGACCCCGCGGCCAUUGCUGACCAAACUGAAGAAGACUUGGUUUUUUCCCAAGUCAGCAAGAUACAAUUCCUUUCCAGAUGCCUACUGUUGACAUUUCCGUGCCAGAGCCAAUUAAGGACACCCUUGAGACAGUGCAGCCUCUCCCGGGUUCUCCGGAUGGUUUACUGUUUGAUCGAAGGGCUUUUCUGAAAACAGACUGUUCUCAGAAUCAAAGCUUACGAUGAAGCGCCAGAUUAGCGGAGUGAGGCGAUUAUGGCUAGUCCAGUUCUCUUGGGAAGAAUUAGGGAAGCAGGCACCUGGUGAGAUGUCUUUGGAAGACCAGUUCUCUUGGGAAGAAUUGGGGAGUCCAGCACCUGCUCUGGGGGAGCUUAUGAACUUCUAUAAAAGUUUUGCGCUGAAAACCUUCGGCGCGGUGUCAACUUAACUUCUGACUGGGAAGCAUCGUCGUCUCUUUUUCCUGAUUUCCAAGUGGCCUGAUGGUGCGCUUACUCUGGAGUAGACCGGGUGUUGGUUUACCUUCUGGCCAAGUUGGGACUGCGUUUCAGCUCCUGAACAUCUAGUUUUGCCUAGCCCUGAAUCCUGAUUUGGACAUUUAUUCUAAAGGACUCUUCUUGCUCCCUGCUCUUUUUCCCACUCAAAACUCAGACGGAGUUUGAGUGUGUUUCGGUUUCUGGAUUUUGAACUCUAAUACUGGACAUAAGACUUUAUCUUAUUGGACAAAAAUUGAUCUUUUUCUGGAAAGUCAAUUGCUACUUUUUACUUUGCUGCUUAUUUCCAUUUGGAACUUUAUUUGCUUUAAUAAAGAUAUUAUAUUGUUA